UUUUUUUUUGUUUCUUGUUGCUACAUUAUAUACUUGUGGGAGCUUAGAUGUGAUAUCCUUAAAUAACAUCUAGAUGUGAAUUAGAAAAACUGAUUUUCUAACGUACCAAGAAAGAAAACUCGAUCAAAAACACGCCCCCGCUUCCAGGUCGUGAGAGUCAUCGCGCACACACACAUAGACAUAGACAUGCAUAUCCGUGUUUACGUAAAAUUCCAUUUCCAUCUCCAUCUCCAAUCAUAUUUGUCCAACUGGCACAUUAUUUACGUUGUUAAUUAUAUACGCGGCAAUAUUAAUGUACAACAUCUCUUGUUUGCGCACGUCCGGACCGCUGCCACGGCCGGUCCUGACCAACCCGAACCCUCUUCAUCACCCGCGUGUGCUUCCCGCCCGAAACGGUCAGUGCCGCAUUCAUGCCCGGCCAGAGUGGACACGACCUCUCACUGGCGCCGACAUUGAUUGCGGCGCGCCGUCCAAGAGAGCGUCACCCGCGCCGCUUCUGGGUGCACGCGGCUGCUCUACGUUCAAAGGUCGUAAUAGCCGGCUACAACAUGCGCGAUCUCUUCCAAUAGUAAGUUCUUGGGAGUCCGUGCUAUAGCUAGCUGUCCUCCCCCAACUCGUCAAUCUCUUCCAGUAGUGCUAGUACUCCAUGGCGCGAUCCAUCGACAAGCAGGCGGGAAAGUUAUGGUAUACUACUCGGUUUGCGGUGAGUGGCAUGCCGAGCGACCGUGUGGGGUCGAGCUGUGGAGGAGGGUGAGACACGAACAUGACAGACGUGAUUUAAACGUUGGUUUUGCUCGAUGGCGCGAUCCAACGAAACGAAACGUUAAUUUCUCUCCAUUUCCAUUUUUUCUCCGGAAAAACGGAAACUUUUCCACUCCAUUUUCAUUCCUAUUCCAAGGUUGCCCCGUUACAACAUUUCAUCAAAUACAAAGGAAAACUAACACGCAUGCUGAUGCAUCCCAAUGAUUCACAGAUUAUAGCCAAUAUUUACUUCACAACUAAAGAAAAAAGUUGUGAGAGCGUGUACGAUAGAAAAACUACUGAUGGGGUCACUACGACUUAAACCAUAAACCCUAAACAUGAUUUAAUUUCCUGGCCAGGUAGAACUUGUCGAAGGAAUGUGCUAGAGGUAGAUUCUUUAGUGAGAAUGUCAGCAACAAUAGAAGCAGCACUCUUAGGUUCUCCACCUUCUGGUACCUCUUGUUCCAUAGCACUUUCCAUGUCGGGAAGGAAAGAUGGCUGGCACCCUCGGAUCAUACGAUGCUGUUGUGCAGUUCCACUAAAAUCAACCUGAGCAUCCCUGAUGGCAAAGAUAUUGAAGAAGUGUGAUUAGAAUAAUAGUACUGGCACUAGUUCAUGAGACAUAAACUCAUCACAAAUAGAAGCCGGUAGAAGUAGAGAAAGAUCGACAUGGAGAUGGAGCUACGGCAGUGGAGCAAGCCGGCUCCAAAAGGAAGAUGGACUACCUGGGACGUCGGGUUGUAGCUAGAAGGGCGGUUGGGACGCGGCAUCAGCCCAUACCGCGGUGACCCCCAAUUGGGACGCACCGACUGUGGGUUUUCUCCCUCGCCGAUGUCGACCGCGUCUACGCAGAACAUUGUUCCCUUCCCCCAGCUACGGGAUUAGGCCCGUUGUCGGUGUCAAAACCGGCGGAUCUCAGGUAGGGGGUCCCGAACUAUGCGUCUAGGCUGGAUGGUAACAGGAGCCAGGGGACACGAUGUUUUACCCAGGUUCGGGCCCUCUUGAUGGAGGUAAAACCCUACGUCCUGCUUGAUUAAUAUUGAUGAUAUGGGUAGUACAAGAGUAGAUCUACCACGAGAUCGGAGAGGCUAAACCCUAGAAGCUCGCCUAUGGUAUGAUUGUAUGUUAUGGUUGUUGUCCUACGGACUAAAACCCUUCGGUUUAUAUAGACACCGGAGAGGGUUAGGGUUACACAAGGUCGGUUACAAAGGAGGAGAUCUCCAUAUCCGUAUUGCCUAGCUUGCCUUCCACGCCAAGUAGAGUCCCAUCCGGACACGAGACGAAGUCUUCAAUCUUCUAUCUUCAUAGUCUAGCAGUCCGGCCAAAGUAUAUAGUCCGGCCGUCCGGAGACCCCCUAAUCCAGGACUCCCUCAGUAGCCCCUGAACCAGGCUUCAAUGACGAUGAGUCUGGCACACAGUAUUGUCUUCGGCAUUGCAAGGUGGGUUCCUUCUCCAAUACAUCACAACAGAAUUUGAAUACGAGGAUAGUGUCCGACCCUGCAAAAUAAGUUCCACAUCCCACGUAGAGAGAAUAAUAUUUCCACAGAUCUAAUUUGUAGGCUUGUUUUGGCAGCAUGACGUUAUGUCAUGGCCCGGUGAUUAUUCGAACCGUUUCCUCUAACCAGCCCCGCACAUAACGCCAGGCAGUUUUUCGACACGUCUUGUCAAAGCAGAGAUCGUGUCCCCUUAUUACGAAAUUCUCAUCAAUACGGGCGUGGGUAACCCAACUGCGCCAUCAAUUACGGCGCUUGGGGGAUAAGCGAGUUUUACCAGGCAAGUGGGGACGCUUAGCUUCGUCCGCCCAUAUAAAGGGAUAGGGAUUCAUCUUUCUAUCCACGCCUUCUUCCUCCUUCGCUCAUCCGCUUUCGCACACUCGAGCUCUAGUGUCCAAGUCCGCACUUCCCACCUCAACCUUCUCCAACCAUGUCCGGAGCGGGAGGCAGGUGCAUGGUCUCCUCCGUCACGGAGGGAGACAUCAAGAAACUGAGGAGAGCCGGAUACUUAGCCGCAAACAUCGCGCAUCGGCUGCCCGCUGCGGGGCAGAUCGUCCCUACCCCGGAACCUCACGAGAGGGUAGUUUUCCUUCACCACUUCCUCCGAGGACUAGGGUUUCCCCUCCAUCCAUUCGUCCAUGGUCUCAUGUUCUACUACGGGCUGGACUUUCAUGAUCUGGCCCCGAACUUCAUCCUCAAUAUUUCGGCGUUCAUCGUCGUGUGUGAGGCUUUCCUCCGCAUCUGGCCCCACUUCGGCCUGUAGUUAAAGACCUUCAAUAUCAAGCCGAAGGUGGUACGAGGCCAACAAGCAGAAUGCGGCGAAGCCAUGGUGGGCAAGAUGCCCAACGUCAUAUGGCUCGAAGGCUCCUUCGUGGAGACAAUAAAGGGAUGGCAGUCGGCGUGGUUCUACAUCACCGAGCCGCGCGAUGCCAAAUGGGCGGCAGCCCCCGAGUUUCGAUCCGGAUUCCCUACACGGCUCACUUCUUGGAAAGAGAAGGGCUUGUCAUGGGGUUCAUCGGUGGAGCUGGAUGGACUCCAGAAAUGUAUCCGGAGUAUCGCGAGCAAGAAGCUCAAGCUUGUCAACAUAGUCCAAGUUAUGCUCAUCCGUCGGAUCCUCCCGUGUCAACAACGGGAUUUUACCUUAUGGGAGUUCGACCCGGCCCAGCACCAGACUCUGAGCGAGCUCUUCGAUACGAUGCACAAGGACGUCUGGAAGGUGUUGUUCAAGGGCGCCGAGGUCACCCCUUAUCUCGCCGAGGACCGCGGACUAAGCGCAAAGCGCCUAGCGCGUUCGGUGAGUUCAAUAUGUCCCGUAGGACACUUAUUUUCCCUAGAUUAAUUAUGUGCACGGUCUAAUCUCCAUGCCUUUGACAGGAGUGGGUGGGGAUGUCGGGGCAGAUUAACUAUCUGGCCCCUUUGCCCGAAGAUACUGCGGGCGCUCUCCUGACGGAGAUGCUGACUCCGGCUCCUUACAAGGUGCCGGAGAAGACCAAGAAGGCCAAGGGAGCCCGAAAGAGUUCCCGGCGCCAGGUGUUAUCGGACUCAUCGUCUGAUAACUCUGCGGCACACUCCUCCCCCGAAGACGAGGAGGAAGAAUAAGAUGCUCCCCCUCCAGGCGGGGGAGACAAGAAAAGGAAGGCCGCCCCAACUGGGGAGGCCGAAGGGUCCAAGAAGGGGAGGACUCUCCUUUUGGACAGUUCCACCGCCGCCGACGAGGGCGAAGACGAGUGGUUUCCCAGGGCCAAGCCCCCGGGGAGAUCGUAAGUAUUUCAGAUACCAGAGUAACUCAUAGAAUUCCUUUGUCGCACUGUUUUUCCUAACGCCGAACAUAAUUAUGCAGGCCGCCACGAGCUAGUAUCCAUGUAUCAUCGGACGGCUCCCUGGGCUCGUCGGACAUGGAUAGCAAUCCAGUCCCGACCGCCACCUCCCCUCAUCCUGCUGAUGAUGCCGAGGUGCUGUCUCAAGAAGCACCGGGUCCAGGGGAGACAGUCCAGGAAGCACCUCAAGGCGACCUUCCGGACUCCGGGAGCCGAGGGGACGGGGCCCCUAAGAGAUCCGAGUUCGGCCCUUAGUCGAACACCGCGCCAGAACCUCCAGCGGUUCCAGGCUCAGGCAGGCGGCCUCCUUCUAAGAGGGGCAAGACGCCUGUGCCGGUGACCUCUGUCCAUCCAGAGGCGCCGGACAAUCUGCUGGAAGCGCUUCGCAGCGCUUCCAUCAACGAGGAGCACCGCACCAUCAUGAGUGCGGUGAUCCAGAAGGUUCAGUCCGCCAAGAGCGGAUUGACUGAAGCCUGUGCCAGCCUUCUAACAGGCUUUGAGGUAAGUGUUUUAAAAUGUAGUAGAAAUAUUACCGCAUAGACAGUAGCCCCUGAUGCUUUGUUCGGUGUUCACAAAGAAAAGCCGAACAGAGGAUCAAAUAAUAUCGCAGGAGUCUAAUAUAAGUAUGUCAAUAUGCAUAUGCAGGCUUCGCUGCUGGCGUCCGCCGCACUGACUGCGGAGGUCGCCGUAUUGAAGCAGGACCUCGAGGGGUCCAGGAAAGAGCUCGGCCUUGCCAAGAGGCAGCUCAAGGAGAACAAGGGUAAGUAGUACCCUGUCUAUAGAUAUGUGUAUAUAAAAGAAGAUGUGAUUGCAAAAUGACAGGAUCAUCGUAUGUUUGCCAGGGGCCACGACCGAGGUGGCGACCCUGAAGCAAGCGCUAACCAAGGCCGAAGAUAAAACGGCCAAGGAGCGCACCGAGCGAGAGAAGCACGAGGCUCGGGUGGGCGAGGUGCAGCAAGAGCUCCAGGCUCUCAUGGCGAAGCACGAGGCGUUGGAGCUUGACUCAAAGACGCGGGAGUCCGAGCUUGCCGCGGCCCUUGAGAGUGCAAAAAGUGCCAAGGCCGAAGCCCAAAAGGCCCUCCAAGAGAUCGACGUGAUGAAGAAGAUAGCGGUGGGUAAGGCUUUCUAUAUGCAAAGCAAGCAUCUAAAAGUAAAUUACCGAUUACUUACCCGAAUCCGGAGCUUUCUAGGAGCAUUCACAGAAUUGCCCCGCAGUGUGUCCGAUGCCGCACAAUUUUACCAGGCUGAGGACGGAAGCUCGAUGGAGAAGUUGUUCUGGUCUCAGUAUGCUAAGGCCAGACAUCCGGUGCCAAUGAGCGACCAGCUGAAGCAGAUGGUCGAGCUACAUAAGGCGGACGAUCAAGCCAUGAAGGGCUUUAUAGUCCGGCUAUGGCCUGGCGACGCCCUUCCGAACAGCUUCUUCGGCCUGGUGAGGCGGCUUGUGGAUGCAUGCCCGCGGCUGGAGGUCGUCAAGCGAUCUAUCUGCAUUGAAGGUGCGCGUCAGGCUUUCGCCCGUGUGAAAUUGCAGUGGGUCAAGCUAGACGCCGUGAAGCUGAUCAAGGAGGGGCCGCCGGAGGGCAAGGAGCACCGCCACCCCGAGAUGUACUACGAGGGUGUUCUGCCGGGUAACCGUCUCAUCGCGGACGAGUGUUCAAAAGAUGUAAUAUUUGAGUGAGACUUGCUCGUUUUAUCCUGUAUUUAUGAAAACUUGUUUCAUAUGCGCUAUGCAACUCUUAUUUGAAUUUAAAAUAUUACCUUUUGUUUGGCUAUUUAUCCAAUCUGAGAGAUGGCUAGUCCUCGGCUUCUGUCCCCAUGCCACGAGUGCUGGGGUGUUCGGGAUAAACCUAAGCACUCUUGUUCCCAUGUUUGGGUCCUUCGAGGGAGGUGCUCAGCACAGCGAACAAGGCAACCGGACUAAUAAUGCUUUAUCACUCUCACUUAGCCAUAGAAUUAUAUAAUUUUAAAUUUCAGCAAAGCCCCUGGUAUUUGGAAGGCCGAAUUCGGGGCGGGAUACACGCCUUUAAGCCGGACAGGGCCGGCCCCUCGCUCUAAGCGGCAUAAGUCUUUAGGGACUCGAAAACCUCGCUUAACAGCGACCAGUCUCUCGCCUUAUCAUGACAAUCAGUUUUAGCUUUCUCUACUGAGGUGCUGAACCCAGCAGAACCGGGGCACAAUCACAGUAGUUCUCCUAGCGCUACCUUAGCCGAUAGAGCGGAACGUAAGGUACCAAAACAUAGGAGCCGGGCAAACCCAACAUUUGACCAAAGACAUGAUUCGGAGCUGAUGCAUAUAAUGCUAUAAGUUCGGGGUGCCGCACUUGUGAAAGUGUUUGGACUUUUCACACCGUAUUGUGGGGUACGAAAGCCCCUGGUGUAUUGGUCGUACCAAAGUGUAUGGUUGCAAGGUGUCAUUAAUAAACACACAGAUAUAUAUAUGAUAAGAAUGCAAUAAUAGUCGUAAUGUCAUGCAUUGUUUAUUCAAAAAAUUGCGUUAAGGCAGAGUGAUACAGAUAGUGCGAUAAGCAAAGAGUAGGACUAUGUCCCUUCCAAGGGCAAGGUGAGGAAUGAUAUUAAAUCGAAUAUUUCGCUCAUUACUGUAAUCCACCUGGGAAUUCCAUGGUAUGACAUAACUGUCUGCCUCCUUGGUUGCUGCAUCAUGUGUUCGGCAAUAGCGCUGCCAGACAGUGUUUCCAGAGAUUAAGGUCCUGAAAAAAAGAGAAAAAUAACCAAACGGGAAGCCCCUAGUGCGGUUUAAGCCGCGUCUUGGGGCGUGCCGCAGCUGUGCCCUCCUCCCCAUCUGUGCCCAUGGUAUUUUUAAUGCGUAAUUAUGUACGCGUGGCACGAGUUUCGCCGCUGGGCUGGGAUUGGGGUGGCCGCCGCAUUGCUACGCGAGCUCAGAUCGCGCCAGGUGGUCUAUUUGCCUAUUGCUCCGAGCGCGCUUGAAGGUGUCCGGGCUUUGAAGCGCCGAACUGGUUGAUUGCCUUGAGAGGCUGCUUUGCGCUUCUGCUGCGAGGGUCGCAGUGUGCUCCUCUGUUCGGAGGGAGCGCUCUGUGUUUCCAUUGACUGUAAUAACUCCGCGAGGUCCUGGCAUCUUGAGCUUGAGGUAUGCAUAAUGCAGUACCGCAUUGAAUCUAGCAAAUGCAGUUCUCCCGAGCAGCGCGUGAUAACCACUGCGGAACGGGACUAUAUCAAAGAUUAACUCUUCGCUUCAGAAAUUAUCCGGGGAUUCGAAGACCACUUCCAGUGUAAUUGAGCCUAUGCAAUGGGCCUCCACACCUGGAAUGAUGCCUUUAAAGGUUGUUUUUGUGGGUUUGAUCCUUGAGGGGUCUAUACCCAUUUUGCGCAUUGUGUCCUGAUAAAGCAGGUUUAGGCUGCUGCCGCCAUCCAUAAGGACUCGAGUGAGGUGAAAUCCGCCAAUAAUUGGGUCUAGGACCAGUGCGGCGAAUCCGCCAUGACGGAUACUAGUGGGGUGGUCCCUGCGAUCAAAGGUGAUCAGACAGGAGAACCAAGGGUUGAAUUUUGGGGCGACUGGCUCCAACGCAUAUACGUCCUUGAGCGCAUGCUUCCGCUCCCUCUUGGGGAUGUGGGUUGCGUAUAUCAUGUUCACCGUCCGCACUUGCGGGGGAAACCUCUUCUGUCCUCCAGUGUGCGGCUGCCGGGGCUCUUCCUCGUCAUUGCUAUGCGGCCCCUUGUCCUUGUUUUCGUCAAUUAACUUGCCGGCCUUCUUGAACACCCAACAAUCCCUGUUGGUGUGAUUAGCUGGCCUGUCUGGGGUGCCGUGUAUUUGACACGAGCGAUCGAGUAUACGGUCCAAGCUGGACGGACCCGGCGUACUUUGUUUGAAUGGCUUUUUCUUCUGACCGGGUUUAGAGCCUUUGAAUCCGGCAUUGACUGUUGUAUCCUUAGUAUUUUCGCUGUUAAUGCGGCGCUUAUGUUUGUUGCGACGUGACCUACUAUUGCCGUCCUUGGUAUCUGAGGUACCAUGGUUCUUUGAUAUGUUAUUACUGCGAGCCAGCCAGCUGUCUUCUCCCGCACAAAAGCGGGUCAUGAGCGUCGUGAGGGCUGCCAUAGAUUUCGGCUUUUCCUGACCAAGGUGCCGGGCUAGCCAUUCGUCUCGGAUGUUGUGUUUGAAAUCCGCUAAGGCCUCUGCAUCCGGACAGUCGAUGAUCUGAUUUUUCUUUGUAAGGAACCGAGUCCAGAAUUGCCUGGCCGACUCUUCUGGCUGCUGAAUUAUGUGGCUCAAGUCAUCGGUGUCUGGUGGUCACACAUAAGUGCCCUGAAAGUUGUCGAGGAAUGCGGCUUCCAGAUCUUCCCAACAGCUAAUGGAGUCUGCUGGCAAGCUGUUAAGCCAAUGCCGCGCUGGUCCUUUGAGCUUUAGUGAGAGGUAUUUGAUGGCGUGUAAGUCAUCACCGCGGGCCAUGUGGAUGUGGAGGAGGAAAUCCUCAAUCCAUACUACGGGAUCUGUUGUGUCGUCAUAUGAUUCAAUAUUCACAGGUUUGAAACCUUCUGGGAAUUGAUGUUCCAUUACUUCGUCUGUGAAGCAUAAGGGGUGUGCGGCGCCUCUGUAUUGGGCUAUGUCGCGACGCAGCUCGAAUGGGUCUUGCCCACUGUGUUCGGCCUGGCCGGAUUUGCUUUUACUGUAUCCGGCGUGAUGUUUAUCGUCUCGCAGAGUAGUGCGCCCUCGUGAUCCGUAGAUCGAUCUUGCAUGCUUUGCUUUGUCCUCCAAUAUGUCUCGCAGGUCUGGCGUAUCUCCCCAUGCCUUUUUAUUUGAAUGGCGUCGGGGUGGAGGCUGAGCAUUUGGCUGGAAUGCCUCUCUAUCGCGGCCACGAGGUGGCCGAUCAGCCGUAUCAUACGCUUCUUCCUCCAGUCGGGGUAGUAACCUGCACUUUGGGUAACUCUUGAAGGGGCGCUCGAGUUUAUAUUCCUCGGCCGUGAGGACUUUAGUCCAUCUGUCAGCUAGCAGAUCUUGAUCAGCUUGAAGCUGUUGCUGCUUUUUCUUCAGGCUAUUUGCCGUGGUCGUAAGCCAGCGCUUGAAGCGCUCUUGUUCGACGGGAUCCUCUAGUACGGCGAAUUCAUCGUCGUCGAGGCUUGCCUCGUCUUCGGAGGGGGGCAUGUGAUUGUCAUCCUCCUCCUCUCUGUCUGCCGCUCUCUCAGGAGAGCUGGCUCCUCCAUCCUCCUGCUCUAAAUCUUGCUGGAGGGGUUUGUUGUUGUCUUCGGCACUAUCCGGAGUGUUAUUAUCUCAUGUGCCAGUAUCACCACUUUUGCUUUGGCGGGACUUAGAGCGGUGCCACUGACGUCGGCGUUUGGGUUGCUUCUUGGAGGGGUCAUCCUCCGCUAUCUCGUCGCCAUUGCCUUCUUUGGGUGUAUCCACCAUGUAUAUGUCAUAUGACGAGGUGGCUUUCCAGUGCCCUAUAGGUGCCGGUUCAUGUUCGUCUCCUACAUCAUUGUCCAUACCGUCGAUAUCUUUGGAGUCUAAGUCGGUCGGUUAAAUCAUCGACAGUGGCUACGAAGUGGGUGGUGGGUGGGCGUCAAAUUUCUUCGUCAUCCGCAUUCCAAUCCUAUUGGCCAUAAUCCGGCCAGGGCUCUCCUGACAAAGAGAGAGACCUUAGUGAAUUCAGAAUGUCACCGAAGGGCGAGUGCUGAAAGAUGUCCGCGGCGGUGAAUUCCAUGAUCGGCGCCCAAUCGGAUUCGAUUGGCAGGGGCGCGGAUGGUUCGGAGUCCGGAAAAGAGUCCGGCACCUUGGAGUCAUGGGUUGCGCAGAGGGUUAGGCUGGUGUUCGGUUCGAUCACCGUUGAGACUGCAGCCCCUGAGGCGGUGUCUAACCACCCGUCCUCGAUUGGCGCAGUUGGCUCCGAGCUAAGGGUCAGAGCUGAUGCGGGUGCGGCCUCUGGGGUACUGUUCGGCAGCAGAGCUAGGUCAUACCCAUCGUGACAGUGCGGCGCGCCCGGCUGUGGCUCGAAUCCGUCGAAGAUCAAGUCUCCACGGAUGUUGGCCGUGUAGUUCAAACUUCCAAAUCUGACCUGAUGGCCAGGGGCGUAGCUUUCAAUCUGCUCCAGAUGGCCAAGCGAAUUAGCUCGCAGUGCAAAGCCGCCGAAUAUGAAGAUCUGUCCGGGGAGAAAAGUCUCACCCUGGAUCGCAUCGCUAUCGAUGAUAGUAGGAGCCAUCGAGCCUAACGGCGACGACACAGAGGAACUCUCAAUGAAAGCACCAAUGUCGGUGUCAAAACCGGCGGAUCUCGGGUAGGGGGUCCUGAACUGUGCGUCUAGGCCGGAUGGUAACAGGAGGCAGGGGACACGAUGUUUUACCCAGGUUCAGGCCCUCUUGAUGGAGGUAAAACCCUACGUCUUGCUUGAUUAAUAUUGAUGAUAUGGGUAGUACAAGACUAGAUCUACCACGAGAUCGGAGAGGCUAAACCCUAGAAGCUAGCCUAUGGUAUGAUUGUAUGUUAUGGUUGUUGUCCUACGGACUAAAACCCUUCGGUUUAUAUAGACACCGGAGAGGGUUAGGGUUACACAAGGUCGGUUACAAAGGAGGAGAUCUCCAUAUCCGUAUUGCCUAGCUUGCCUUCCACGCCAAGUAGAGUCCCAUCCGGACACGAGACGAAGUCUUCAAUCUUGUAUCUUCAUAGUCUAACAGUCCGGCCAAAGUAUAUAGUCCGGCCGUCCGGAGACCCCCUAAUCCAGGACUCCCUCACCCGUCGUUCUAUGCUUGUGAAGAGAGCAACCUAAGCAAGCAGGCUUGUAGCUUAGGCUCCUGCUAGUGUAUAUAUAGUGGUUUUCUUUUUCUCUCCAUAUCAACCAUUUUAUAUUGCAUACGUGUCAUUCAAGAGUGAAAUGAUGGUUGCUUCUUCCGACUAACUUACUGUGUGAUUUGACUGCUCCUUAGCGGCCCGUACAGGUACUCCCCCUACGUGUAUGCAACAGUCACACGUACACAUGGACGCAAAAACGCGCGUGACACCCUAAUGCAUGCAUGUCCGAGCACACGAUGGAGGAGCGUCUGCACUCUUAUUAUAAUUUUAAAAUGUGAUAAAGCAAUCUUCAACACAUUUGGUUCUCUUCGAGGGUUCUCGCAUGUGAUAAUGGAAGUUGAUUGCAUGGAACACUCGCCACAAUUCUUGCUUAAUUCUGGCUCAUAUCCCGUUACAAAUAGUAGCACUCAGUAAUAUUUCCUUUUUUUGUUAUUCAGCAUGUAAACAGGUCAACAAACCUUGCGGCGCAUCUUCGUGCGAACCGUGCUUGCUGCACUUUGAAUGUGGCCGAGAGCUGGCUUGAUGAAACACCUCGCUUCCUACUUCUUUUUUUGCGGGGUACCUCGCUUCCUAGUGACCAGUGUCUUGGCUGAUCGUCCUAAGAAUGCUUAUAUAUGAAUAAAGCUCUCUCAUUUACCCGCAAAAAAGAUUAAGCCAUAUUAACCGGAAAGGACGGAGUAUGGACUAGCACUACUUUUUGGUGUGUCCCGUCAACUCGCAGAACAAGGAGAAGCUUGCAGGACAAGGUGAAGCUCGCUUAUGCCUUUUGACUAAUGCAACCUACCCUCGAUGGACAUGCAUCAGUCCAUUCGGUGUCAGAUUGUCAGAGGCAUACACUGUAGUACCCAACAUGCGGAGUACCAUCAUUGUUCGACUUCACGAAGGGGCGAAGAGCCAAGCGCAGUAGUACGCGUACUUGGUUUUGCACCUUCAUACUACUCCACCCUCCGUCACAGUUUACAGGGCACGCUUCAUUAUGAUGCAUUUCUCUCAAUGCAUUUCCACCACCAGAGAGACUUUAGACGCGUUUGGUAUAAUGCUCAAUUAAUUAGUGCGUGGUAACCGCAAUCAAGUCCACAAUUUUCUCUCCAUGUACUGUACUACUACGGAGUGCAUGCAUGUGUGUACCCGGGGUGGAAGCACUGCAUGCAUGUGUGUACGCAUUAUUCCCUCUAGUAAUAGACGCCGUGCUAUAACUACCAAUGCUCUUUUUCAGGCCGAUCGCUAGUCGCCUUGGUCCCACCAAUUUUUUUCUUUUUUUUGAAGCGCGUUGUAUAAACAGUGACGGAUGGAGUAGUAUGAGCGGAUUCAAAGAAGAGCAUAUUGAUGGUUGCUUCUUCAGAGCAACUUACAGUGGGAAAGGUGGGGCUUAUGAUUUGACUGCUCAUUACUCACUAUUAAUGCGGCGCAACGACCGGGCUGAGUCUCCCAUGCGGUUGUGCACUACCCCUCGGAUCUUAAAUAUACUCCGGAGUAUUUGUCUUUCUAGAGAUUUCAACGAGUAACUACUCAAAUAUUUGUCUUUUUAGAGAUUUCAAAUGGACUGGCACAUACGGAUGUGUAUAGACAUAUUUUAGAGUGUAGAUUCACUCAUUUUGCUCCGUAUGUAGUCACUUGUUGAAAUCUCUGUUAAGACGAAUAGAAUAUUUAGGAACGGAGGGAGUACACAUUUGAAGAAAAAUGAGUGAAUCUACACUCUAAAAUAUGCCCGUUUGAAAUUUGUAAAAAGACAAAUAUUUAGGAACGAAGGAGUAUAAUUUUGUGCAUGGCACAUGGACCCGGAUGAUGAAGAGGCUUCUGGCAAUGCUAUCAAGCUUCCAUCAUUUGUUUACAUAAUUGACGUACUAUACAAAUAAUUUUCCAACGACAUGAAAUUGUACAAUGGUGUGAGCUUUCAGCUUUUGUUUCGCGUGUCUUGCCAUCGAUGCUCUUACGGAAACAAUAAAAAACUAAGUUCCUUGCUAAUGCAUGUCAAUUAUUAGUAGAUCAGAGCUAAUAAUUACAUCACAACUGAAGACAAAGUUGUGAGAAGGUGUUAAAUUAAAAUUGAUCCAUGCUUUCAUUGGCAGCAACGUCCCCCCAGCUCUGUCUAAAUCAACAAGGCGUGUUGGGAAAAAAGUAGUUGUCUAGAGCAUGCAACAUUCCGAUCAUUUUGUGCAGUUCCACUAAAAUAGAGCUGAGUGUCCCUGUUCCAAAGAUAUCAAGUGUGAUUACAAUAAUAGAGGACUGCUGAUGAAAUAAUAAACACACAAAUAGAAGCCGGUCACCUUUGCAGUCUCUCUUAAGACUAACUAGUUGGAGAAGAUUAGGCUCGGAGUUGGAUGAGGAGGAUAGAGCAAAACCAAUCUCCCUUUGUGCAGUCGCACUGAAAUGUAGAGACGUUGCCCGUGUGACAUUUUAGUACAACUGCACAAAACACUCUUAAGAAAAAAGUGAUUUGUGCAGUUCACCAAAAGGUCGCAAUAGCAAUGACAUGAAAUGGAUAGCCCUAUUUGCAAAAAAGAGGUAGAAAGGAAACAAUUACUAGCCAGUAACAGUUGAUGACACAUGCGAUGACAAAAAAGAAGCAUAUUCCUUGUCAGAAGGGAAGAUAACAACACGGUUGUGUUUGUCUAAAACGGUGUGAGGGCGAGAAUGCAAUAUGGAAAGUACGCCGGACAAGCUACGUUUUGGGCAAAGAACUAUGGAAGAUCCACAUGCAGCGACAUGCGAAAACGGGCAGUGGAGCAAGGCCGGAGGGGAUACCUGGAGGUCGUCGGGAUGUAACUAGGUGAGCGGCGGCGGGCAGAAUCUGCGAGCAGGUGGCGUAGGCCCUGCCGCACCGGAGCUUGGUCAGAGAGAACGGCGUGUACCGCAGAUUGGGACGUGCUGCCUCGGCGCCGUCGAAUGGAGAAACGAUGCACUUCCUCCCUUUCCCCCGGCGGACGGGAUGCGGCUGGAUCAGUGACCAACGGUGAGAGAGAGAGAGGCCACCGCACUCCCUUUCCCCCGAUGGACGGGAUGCGGCCGGAUCAGUGACCAACGGUGAGAGAGAGAGAGGCCACCACACUCCCUUUCCCCCGGCGGAUGGGAUGCGGCCGGAUCAGUGACCAACGGUGAGAGAGAGUGAGGCCACCGGAGCCUUGUGUGAGAUACUCUGAAGAGCAGACUACCUUUUCCUCCAUAAAAAUCGUUUUAUAUUCUGUGUACGUGCCAUUGAGCGCUAUAACCUUAUUUAAAAAUAACGCGGCAAUGCGUCAAGUCGAACUUUGUUUCGUGCACGUGUGGUACACGACCUCCCUAGGUAAACAACCGCUACAGGCGUUCAAAUUAGCACGUGGGCUGCCAUUUCGUAAAGAAAUGAGCUCCACCGUGUACCCGCGCGGGUGUGGCUGGGCACGAAGCGUCAGUACGUGCACGGUGCACCUAUUCUCUUCUUGUAUAUGUACACCUGCGUGGGGUUGUGUGAGAGAGAUACAAACCUAGAGAGAUAUAGCGUGUGGGUUCUUGAGAGUUUUUUUAUGGGGGGGUCAAUCAAAAAAUUUAACAUAUGCAAUGUGUGUGAAAUAGAGUCCUGGAUAUAACAUAUAUAUAGAGGGGGAGAUCCACGAGAAGAGAGUGGGGGUAUCAUCGGCUUGAGGUGUCCAUAGAAUCGAAGAGAUAGAUGAUGUGUGUGUGUGUGUGCGCGCACGCGAUCGAUAAAGAGUGCCAUCGAAUUUGUGUGUGCCCAUGUCAAAGAUAUAGAGUGGUUGGCCUACUGGAACGUGAGAUGGGACAUGUGCAGUUUGUCUCUGUGGCAUGGAUACCUACCUGCAGCGCUCGACUAUCGGUGUGUGGUGGGGGAAGAGGGAGGCCCAAUUAACUAUAGAAGUACAAUGGCUGGUAUAUGUGUGGAGGAGGAGAGAGGCCUACCUCGUGUAUUAAGGAGAUCAAUCUGCCUCAUGUAUUAAGGGAGAUCGAUCGGCAUCCAUGAAUAUGUGCAGGAGAUGAAUAAGGUUGGGAGAGAGACAGAGCUAGAGUGUUGGAGGGGGUGGUAGUGGAGUUGCUUUUAACAAAUGGUGGGAUAGGCUUGCUAGACAAACGGAGGGCACGCCCGCAAUAUCAAUAAGAGAGGAGAUGGCUGUUUGUUGUCUGUGCACGUGCGUGUGAGAGACAGGUCAGGAGGCAUGCACGAAUGAUGAGGGGGGACGAUGUGGCUGUGGUAAGCAGACGUAACUACAUAGGAAGAUCAAUCGCCCUUUGUAAGAGAAAGGAGAGACAUAACUUGUGAGGUACGUCGAUCGAUGGGGGGUAGUUAAAGUCGAUCUAGGUAUAUGUUGGGAGAUCGAUCGGUAUACAUGCAUGUGUGUGUUAGAAGCAAAUGAGGCACGAGGAGAAGGAUAGAGAGAGAGGGAUGCAUGUAGGAGGUGGUACGAGAGGCAUACUAUAUCGAGGGGGAGGAGUGUGUGAGUACGAGAAUGAUGAAAAGAGUGGUGGGAGUGAGGCAUGGACGGUGACAAGAGAAGAGGGGAAGCUUGUGUUUGUGCUAGGCACACCUGGCUAGAGAGGCAUAUCGAUCGAUGUGUGCCGUAAAUAAGGAGCUGGGGGGCCUACACACACCGUGGGUGAACGACCUAAAGUGAAAAGAUGAAUUUGUGCGAUGGAGCUAGAGAAUGCUGAGGGAGGGUGAGAGGGAUGCGGGCGUGUGCAUGCACAAGAGAAAGUUAGCACUAGCUACAAAGAUAAGAGGGUUGUGUGGGUGUAAAAGACGAAUAGAGAUCAUAUAUACUUCAUUAUAAAAAGCGAAUUCGGAUAUUUGAAGAAUUUAUCAUAGUGUUUCAAACCGACGGAUGUGUGAAUAUAUAUAAUGGUGAUACACAUGGUGUGGUUAUGAACAUGGUAUACUACAUUUAAUAUAUUUUAUCUCUAGUCUUAUAAAAAACGGAGUUGUUUAUGAUGGUGUGCCUGCCAUCCUGCAUUAUAGGCCAUCUGAUUUAUAUCUGGCGGAUAGCAAGGAAACUAUGAUGGUUGAAGUUGGCAACAAUCAUGAUUGUAGAUUCUUAUUGGAAUAGAGAAACGAAUUCAAAUUUAGUUCGAAUUGCAGCGGUAGUAAGUAUAGACAUUUGGAAUGCACUAAAAUGUUGGUAUGAGUAGGUUACAUGCAUUAUACAGCAAGCGAAAAAAAUUAAUCGGACAUAACAUGGAUUCAUACUCCCUCCUUCCAUCUAUAUAGGGCGUAAUGAGAUUUUUAAGACCGCCUUUGACUAUUGACAAGAUUAAUAGUACAUGACAUGCACAAUGUGAAAAUUAUAUCAUUGAAAGAACCUUUCACAAACGAAUUUAACGGUGUGCUUUGUGUAAGUUGCAUGUCAUAUAUCAUUGCUCUAAUAUUUGGUCAAAGUUAGCAUCGAAAAACGCAUUAGGCCCUAUAUAGAUGGAAGGAGGGAGUAGCUUUGAAUAGCACUUGUAUAGUAAAACGGGGCAAGACUCUCUCUUUGUGUGGUGUGAAUAGUUUUAUUUUUUCGUUUUCUUUUUGGUUGAGGGAAGUGUGAAUUGAUUUGGUACAUACAAGUACAAUAUUACUACACGUUAAGCUUGUCCCUAAAAUUCAACCCGCGUCUUGUUAUAUCUUGAAAAUUCAGAUAUCGUGCUCCCAAAACUGGCACCUUCACAACCCGCGCCUUGCUAUCCCAAAAUUACAACGUGCGCGAAAACUCCCUCCAGCUGCCAAAUCCCGACACGCAAAACCCCCCUUCUAACCCUAAACCGAAAGGGACGCUAGUUCAAAUCGGUGGGGGUACUUUUGUAACACGCCUUACAUUUUGGACAAGCGCGUUCCUAAGUCAUGCUUCACCCCCUCCCAUCGCCUCCUUUUCGCCAUUCGAAAUCCCAGGCCGCCAUAACCUCUCCGCUCCAGCCGCGAAACCCCACCCUCCUUUGUCCGCCACGUCACCGCUGCCCAGCCAGAGCCUCUUCCCCAACGACAUCGUCCAUCGCAACAGCUCGACGUCCCUCGUCCACCUCCCCGGAUGAGGAUCCGUCAUCCAUCUCGUCGUCCCACCGGUUCAGCCGCCCCAUCCUCCACCUCCAAGGAGCUGCUCCGACGAUUGCCUCGUCUAUCGCGGCUGCUCCAUCCCCACAGCGCCGCCUUAACCUGCUCUACCGGAACCGCAGCAUCCUCACUGACUCCUCGGAUGAAGCCGAGGCCUACUUGGCGCCACCAAAGAGGUUGUGCACUCAUCGCAUCGCACCUUCUCCUUAACUCGACCUCCCAGCGCCGACGGUGCUCCAUCCCGCACCCCCGUGGAGCGGCUACCUUGAAGCCGGCGCCACGGGCGACAUCUCCAUGGCGGCUCUCCCCCAGUGCGAGGCCCCUUCGGCGGCGGCAGCCAUACCAGCCGGAUCUGCUGCUGCUCCGGCUCUCGCUCCAUCGCUCGCUCACCCAGCUGCUGUUGCUGCUCUCCUCCUCGCUCGUGCUGCUGCUCUGCUCCGAUUAAGCGAAACUUUAGUCGACUGAAUUGACUUUUGGGUCAGUCGAUUUUCAGGGGUUGGGGGGGCUCACCGGAGUUAAGGAAGAACCACCCGCAGCGGGGACAGGGGCUCGCCGGAGAGGUGCCCCACUAUCUAUCUUAGGAUUCAGGGUGGGGGCGGGGGGCCUAGAGGGCUGGCCGGGGCAGCGGUGGCGAGUUGUUUCGGGGCGGCGAGGCGGCGCUGGGGCCGGCGGUUCGGCUGGUGGUGGCUGGCGGCUCAGGAGGGUGCAGGUUGAAGAUGAACUGCGGGCCCUCCCUAAACUACAUGUCAAGUGCCUCUGUGCUACCAUUGCGUUCAGUUUCGACAGUAGCAUUCAGAUUCCACAGUAAAUUUCAGUUUUGACAGUUAAGUUCGGAGUCAACAGUUUUUACCUCAUCUGUUGUAGUCAGGUGGUUUUUGGUGAUGUUAAUUUUACAUCCAUUUUACAUCAUCUAUUGGAGAUGCUAUUAGAAUCCCAGUUGAGAUUGACUAUGUUUGUCUUGUGCUGCUUCAGCCUUGACGUCUUACGGCUCACCGGAGCUACUCCAACGACAGAACGAUCCGUCACAACAGAGCAGUGCCCUGGACGCUGUCUACAUCGCCCUCAGAUCUUCCUCCACACCUCCGACAGCCACCUCUGCCUCAACUGCUUCAGCGACCAACCCAAUGAUGCUGAGGUCGACACGGCUACGGCAAAGAGGUUGUACACUUGUUGCAUCACUUAUUACUAUACAUUCACGUCGAUCCAUUAGGGCUAUUUUGGUUCAAUGGAAAAACAUCGAUCCACUAGUUGUUACCAUCACUCUAAAUUUCUACAUGCUCUCCUUACAUAAUCUCACCAUAUUUUUUCAUAUGCAUGUCAGAUAUUGUACACAGUCAUGCUAAACAUGUAGAGAAAAAGAGAAGAGUUUUGUGCAGCAAUACAAUGUCAUGCAGACAUUGCUCCAUGGUGGGUUCAAUGGAAAACCCUCCCCACCCCUCUCCAGAUUGUAAUCCAGAGGAAGAUAUCUGUUCUGAGGCGGAUUCGGAACCCGCUGACCACUCCUAUUUACCCCCAAGGUGUUUGCUCUACCUUGGCAUGAUGAUGUUAGUCAUAUCAUGCAUAUGUUGCCUUGCAGUGCCUACUUUUGACAUCAUAUAUGUCAUCUGCUUAGUUUAGACAUAUUCUGUAAUGCCACCUGUUUAGUUUCCAUAUCAUAUAUGGGAAUUAUGCAGUCUCAUGUCUUUUAGCCAACCAUAAUAUAUGUGAAAUGUGCAAUGCCAUCCUGUUUAACCAGGCAUCAUAUAUUUGAAUGAUAUCUUGCCCAUCCUUUUCUUCAUUAUAUUUCCAUUUGUCGACAAUGUUUGUACAUUAAACUACUCUUCCUGUGAAUCAGCCAUUUGGGUGGGAGAUGGAAAAAUCUGGAGUGAAAACAAGGCCUUCAGAGUAGACAGUGCUACAUGUCGAAGCAGAUCUCUUGUUGGGUCCCGAUAGCUCCUCAGAGAUGGAUUCAGAGACAGAUGACCAGUCCUAUUCCCCCACUGAGGUGUAUGCUCUAACUUGGCACGGUUAUACUGCUCAUAUCAUGCAUACGGUGUCUUGCAUUGCAUAGUUUAGACAUCAUAUACACAAUAUUCAACACCAUGUUCUUAGUUCAGACAUCAUAUUGAAUGCCCUCUGUUUAGCAUAUAAAUCACAUAUGUGAAUUAAAUGAUGCGAUCCUGAUUACUUAGAUAACAUGUAGGUGAAUUAUGUCAUGCGAUCUUGUUUAGUUAUUCAUCAUAUCUUUGAAUUAUGUUAUGCUAUGCUAUCCAAUUUAGAUAGACAUCAUAUAUGUGAAAUUAUGUCAUGCUAUCCAUUUUAGUUAAACAAUAUACAUGUCAACUAUUUCAUGCCCUCUUUUUUCCACACUAUCUAUUGCAUCUGUCUCUCAUACAAUGUCUGUACAUUCAACUAUGUUUCCUGUUUAUCAGCCAUUUGAAUUGGAGCAGGUGAUGCCAGUAUCUAGCGGACUAAAAACACGGUCUUCAAAUAAAAUAGUGCUACCUCUUGGUGGAGAUAGCACCCCGGUUGUACAUGCACAAGAACCAGCCCUACCACAAAUAACCCAAACUCUCGCAGAUUGUACCCCUACUACGAUGGACAGAGAACCAGCUUCACCCAAUCUAACCCCAACCCCAGCCGAUAGUAACCUAGUUUAUGUUGACACAGCACCAUCUCCACCACAGAGCUCCCAAACAAGAGCAAUUAGUAAGGCAGCUCCAGUGCCCAAAGGGCCAGUACUAUCACGGCGAACCCCAACUCCACCAGUUAGUACGCCUAUUCCUGUGAGGAAGCACAACCAGCUAGUCGUAGUUUAGCAUCUAUCGCAUUUGAUGUUAUUAAAUCGUAUGUACGUAUCUUCCCAUCUUGGAAAUAUUAUACUGAAGAUGAAGGAAAAUGCCAGUUGCAGGUGUAUGUCCAGGAGUUAUGUGCAAGUAAUGUUAUUCAUGGCAAUUACUUUGCUUUGUCCCAUACAUCCUACCUCCAUGAUGUUUAUAAUACAGCAAAUUUUCCCAUUUUUCUCUAUAGAGAAGGACCGAUUUGGAAACUCGGGAUGAGGUAACCUGUGCUAAUACCUCUGCUAUCUUCAAGAAUGCUUGGUGGCAGUAUCGGAAUUACCUGAAGAAAACGUACUUCACUCGCAAAGAAACUCAUCAAAUUCCCUUACAUUCUCCUGAGACACAUUUACUGGACGAUGAAUGGGAAUGCCUUGUUCUGUACUGGUCCCGAACCAAGAAUGUGGUAAGGUCUAUGAGCUCAUUUUCUAUUUUUAAGUAUUAUAUUCUUGCGUCUUACUGUACUCUGUUCAUGUAGAACAAGUGCCUAAACCUGAAGAACAACUGUUCUAAUUUAAGAUUCCAUUGCUACCAUAGGACAUAGAUAUACGUUUGUUUGAUGCUUUUAUUAUGUACUAGUACUUGGCAAUAGAAGACUUGGUAGUUUAAUCCUGUCCACCUUACUAAUGAACUGGUUCACCGAAAUGAGUUUCAUAUACUAGUACAUGCUAAACUUGUUAUGUGUCUACUUGUUUCUUCUUUUAGAAUGCUGAUAGAAUAUUGGGGAAGAGUGCCUUAUUAAGCAACGGUAAAGGAAGUAAUGCAGAUAAGGUUCAGGAUAGUGACACAUCCUGUCUUGGUUUAGUGUUGGAGUUACUGGCCACUACCGCUUGCACAAGCUAUUCAAACUCACUGUCUGAAUCAGUUCGGUUUCUUGAGUCUCAACUACAAGCUGAAAGACAUCGAUCAGCUGUGCUGCGACAAGAAGCGGAAGGACUGCGAAAGUCCCUGGAGCAUUCAGAUGCAUACUUUCUGGUGCAACAGCAAGCAUUGGAGGAUUUUAGCGCCAAACAAGACAAAGCUAAUCAGCUUGCUAAGCUUAUUGCCAGCAUGGUGGAUACCCAGGAUAACAUUUCUUGAGCUCUUCUGAAGUUGUUUCAGUUAUGCUCUUGUUUUGCUGCCGCGUUUAUUUGCACUGGUGGCCAAUUUUGACGGCCAGUGUAUAUGAUAUGCUGCUUUGUUCCCUAUAUUUGCAUUGGUGGUGAACUUUGAUGCCCAGUGGAUGUAAUAUGUGUAAUAGCCGUGAUAGCCUAGCGUUAGUUGCUUGCUUAUUUAUUUCCUUGUUGUCUUGUUUAUUUGUUUUCUUGUAGUCAUUGCAGUUCUUUUUCCGCGGUUAACUAGUGGCUGCAAUAACCUAUUUUUUAAAACUAGGCCACAAUAACCAUGGGCUAAUAUUUACUGUAGUGACACUGGGCCUCCUACGAGCCAUAGAAACAGUGGGCCUUCUACGGGCCGUAGAAAUAGUAGGCCUUCUACGGGCCGUAGAAACAAUGGGCCUUCUACGGGCCAUAUCAUCAAUGGGCCCUAUACGGGCCGUAUGAUCGAUUGGCCAAACAUGGGCCAAUAACAGGCCACAUUAUGGCCGUAAACGGGAUAGAGUUGGAAUCGUCCAUUCAUGGGCCGACCGUAACGGGCCAUCGUUAAUAGGCCGUAUUUUAUGACGCUAUGAAAACGGCCCAACGUAUUAACGGACCACAAAUGGGCCGACUGUAACCACGGGCUGAAUUUGGCCCAUAAGCAGAAAAUGACAGUAACGGGCCGUAAGUAAACGAAUGCUGGAAAUGAGCCCAAGAAUAAAUGGGCUCUGAGAAGGCCGAAAGAUAACAUGGGCUGGAAAUGGCCCAACGGAAUAACGGGCCGUUAAUGGGUAUAAAGUGAUACACUAUUCAUUACGGGCCAGUUUCACCACGGGCCGUUAAUGGGUGUAAAGUGAUACACUGUUCAUUACGGGCCAGUUUCACCACGGGCCAUUAAUAGGCCAAGAGUUACAUAGGGCCUCAUAUGGGCCGAAAGACGUCAUGGGCCAUACAUGGGUUAGAAAUGAAAACGGGCUGGAAUCAUAUUGGAUGGCCCAGAUGACGCUACUGGGCCUAAUUCGGAUAGGGCAUAACGGGCCUUGGGUUAGCGGGCUGUAAAUGGGCUAUAUGCGAAUAGGCCGUUAACAGGCUUUCCAUGGGCCGGCCCGCCACCUUUUGACAAAGUCAAACGGGCCGACCUUUUCACAGGAAUGGGCCUCUGUUGGGCCAUGCCACGUGUCGACGUAUCAUAGGCGCCUUCCGUCCAAUGAGUGGUUGACAUCUGUCCCAACGAUGAGCCGACACGUGUUUCCUCCAGCCAAUGAUGAUUUUACACGUGGAAAAUCCCAUUUGGUCGGGGAUGUUAAUGGGUUAUCGGAUCCAAAACCCGACCCGAUAGCUUAACGGUGUUCCGUUACGGUGGAUGCCACGUGUCGGUCACCCUUGACGAAAGCACUUCUAUGACGCGUGAUUUAUCGUCAUGGAAGUGGACACUUCCGUGAUGAUAAUUUUGGUAAUGUCAUGGAACACUUCUACGACAGCACAAGUAUGACUAUCUUGAUUCUGUCAUAAAUUUAUCAUGGAUGUACAUGCAUGACUAAAAAAGCGACCUACUGUGACAAACACGUAUCAUCACGGAAGUGUAUUUUUUGUAGUGCAAUUUCCUCUAGUGCUUCACUUAUAUCUUUUUAGAGCACAGUGGUGGCUUUAUUUUAUAGAAAUUAUUGAACUCUCAUGCUUCACACAUAUUAUUUUGAGAGUCUAAACAGCAUGGUAAUUUGCUUUGGUUAUAAAUUUAGUCCUAAUAUGAUAGACAUCCAAGAGGGGUAUAAUAAAAACUUUCAUAUAAAGUGCAUUGAAUACUAUGAGAAGUUUGAUUCCUUAUAAUUGUUUUGAGAUAUAAAGAUGGUGAUAUUAGACUCAUGCUAGUGAGUAAUUGUGGAUUGUAGAAAUACUUGUGUUAAAGUUUGUGAUUCUCGUAGCAUGCACGUAUGGUGAACCGUUAUGUCAUGAAGUUGGAGCAUGAUUUAUUUAUUGAUUGUCUUACUUAUGAGUGGCGGUCGGGGACGAGCGAUGGUCUUUUCCUACCAAUCUAUUCCCUAGGAGCAUGCGCGUAGUACUUCGUUUCGAUAACUAAUAGAUUUUUGCAAUAAGUAUGUGAGUUCUUUAUGACUAAUGUUGAGUCCAUGGAUUAUACGCACUCUCACCCUUCCACCAUUGCUAGCCUCUCUAGUACCGCGCAACUUUCGCUUGUACCAUACACCCACCAUAUACCUUCCUCAAAAUAGCCGCCAUACCUACCUAUAAUGGCAUUUCCAUAGCCAUUCCGAGAUAUAUUGCCAUGCAAGUUGUUGGGGAUCGUUGCAGAAAUUUAAAAUUUUCUACGCAUCACCAAGAUCAAUCUAUGGAGAAACUAGAAACGAGAGAGAGAGAGAGAGGGGAGUGCAUCUUCAUACCCUUGAAGAUCGUGACACGGAAGCGUUACAAGAAUGCGGAUGAGGGAGUCAUACUCGUGGCGAUUCAGAUCAUGGUAGAUUCCGAUCCAAGCGCUGAACAACGGUGCCUCCGCAUUCAACACACGUGCAGACCGGUGACGUCUCCCACACCUUGAUCCAGCAAGGAGAGAGGGAGAGUGAGGGAGUCCUGGAUUAGGGGGUGUUCGGAUAGCCGAAUUAUACCUUCAGCCGGACUCCUGGACUAUGAAGAUACAAGAUUGAAGACUCCGUCCCGUGUCUGGAAGGGAUUUUCCUUGGCGUGGAAGGCAAGCUUGGCGAUACGGAUGUUCAGAUCUCCUACCAUUGUAACCGACUCUAUGUAACCCUAACCCUAUCCGGUGUCUAUAUAAACCGAAGGGUUCUAGUCCGUAGGACGACAUACACAUCUACAAUCAUACCAUAGGCUAGCUUCUAGGGUUUAGCCUCUCUGAUCUCGUGGUAGAUCAACUCUUGUAUUACCCAUAUCAUCAAUAUUAAUCAAGCAGGACGUAGGGUUUUGCCUCCAUCGAGAGGGCCUGAACCUGGGUAAAACUUCAUGUCCCCUACCUCCUGUUACCAUCCGGCCUAGACGCAUAGUUCGGGACCCCCUACCCGAGAUCCGCCGGUUUUGACACCGACAUUGGUGCUUUCAUUGAGAGUUCCUCUGUGUCGUCGCCGUUAGGCCCGAUGGCUCCUACGAUCAUCAAUGGCGAUGCAGUCCAGGGUGAGACCUUCCUCCCCGGACAGAUCUUCGUCUUUGGCGGCUUCGCACUGCAAGCCAAUUCACUUGGCCAUCUAGAGCAGAUCGAAAGCUACGCCCCUGGCCGUCAGGUCAGAUUCGGAAGUUCAAACUACACGGCUGACAUCCGCGGGGACUUGAUCUUCGACGGAUUUGAACCACUGCCGAGCGCGCCGCACUGUCACGAUGAGCAUGAUCUAGCUCUGCCGCCGAACAGAGCCCUGGAGGCCGCACCCGCAUCGGCUCCGACCCCUAGUUCGGAGCCGACCGCGCCGAUCGAGGAUGGGCGGUUGGACGCCACCUCAGGGGCUGUGAUCCCAACGGCGGUUGAGCCGAACACCAGCCCCGUACUCUGCAAGACUCGUGACUCCAUGGAGCCGGAUUCUUCUCCGGACUCCGAACCCUCCGCGCCCCUGCCGAGCAAAUCCGAUUGGGUGCCGAUCAUGGAGUUCACGGCCGCGGACGUCUUUCAGCACUCGCCUUUCGGCGAUAUCCUGAAAUCACUGAAGUCUCUCUCUUUGUCAGGAGAGCCCUGGCCAGACUACGGUUAGCAAGGUUGGGGUACGGACGAUGAAGAAAUUCAAAACCCACCCACCACCCACAUGGUAGCCACUGUCGACAACUUAACCGACAUGCUCGACUUCGACUCCGAAGACAUCGACGGUAUGGACACCGAUGAAGGACAUGAUGAAGAACCAGUGCCCACUAGGCCCUGGAAAGCCACCUCGUCAUAUGACAUAUACAUGGUGGACACCCCAAAAGAGGGAGAGGGCGAUGGAACAGCGGAGGAUGACCCCUCCAAGAAACAGCAAAAGCGCCGGCGUCAGCGGCCGCUCAAAAUCCCGCCAACACAAAAACGGCGAUUCCAGCACGGGAGAUAAUAAUACCCCGGAAAGCGCCGAAGAACAUCCCCCCGAGCAAGAUUUAGCACAGGAGGAUGGAGAAACCAGUCCUCAUGAGGGAGCGGCCGACAGAGAGGUCGAGGACAAUAAUUGUAUGCCUCCCUCCGAAGACGAGGCAAGCCUCGACGACGACAAGUUUGCCGUGCCAGAGGAUCCCGUCGAUCAAGAGCGUUUUCAACGCAGGCUUAUGGCCACGGCAAGAAGCCUCAAGAAAAAAUAGCAACAGCUUAAAGCUGAUCAAGAUCGGCUAGUCGAUAGAUGGACUGAAGUCCUUGCAGUCGAAGAGCAUAAACCCGAACGCCCCUCCAAGUGCUACCCGAAGCGCAGUUUGCUACCCCGAUUAGAGGAGGAAGCACUCGACACGGCCGAUAGGCCACCUCGUGGCCGCGACAGAGAGGCCUCAUGUCCCUCCACCCAAGCUGCACCCCGUACUAAGGCACGGGAAUAUGCGCCGGACUUACGAGACAUGUUGGAGGACAAGACAAGGCAAACAAGAUCGAUCUACGGAUCACGUAGGCACCCCAUGGCUCGAGACGACAACCGUCACGCCAGCCACAAAUUCGGCAGGGCCGAACAUAGUAGACAAAGCUCAUCGGAGCUACGUCAUGAUAUCGCCCAAUACAGAGGCGCCGCACACCCAUUGUGCUUCACAGACGAAAUAAUGGAUCAUCAAAUCCCUGAGGGUUUCAAACCCGUAAACAUCGAAUCAUAUGAUGGCUCAACAGAUCCCGUGGUAUGGAUCGAGGAUUAUCUCCUUCAUAUCCACAUGGCCCGCGGUGAUGAUUUCCACGCCAUCAAAUACCUCCCACUCAAGCUUAAAGGACCAGCCCGGCAGUGGCUUAACAGCCUGCCAACAGGGUCAAUCAGCUAUUGGGAGGACCUGGAAGCCGCAUUCCUCGACAAUUUCCAGGGCACUUACGUGUGACCCCCAGACGCUGACGACCUAAGCCACGUGAUUCAGCAGCCAGACGAAUCGGCCAGGCAAUUCUGGACAUGGUUCCUAACAAAGAAAAAUCAAAUACUCGACUGUCCGGACGCAGAGGCCUUAGCAGCCUUUAAGCAUAAUAUCUGUGAUGAGUGGCUUUCCCGGCACCUAGGACAAGAGAAGCCGAAAUCUAUGGCAGCACUCACGGCACUCAUGACCCGCUUUUGCACGGGAGAAGGCAGCUGGCUUGCUCGUAGCAACAAUAUGACCAAGAACCCUGGUCGUUCGGACACCAGGGACAUUAGUGGCAGGUCGCGUCGCAACCAACAGAAGCACCGCAUCAACAGCGACAAUGCUAAGGAUACGGCAGUUAAUGCCGGAUUCAGAGGCUCUAAAUCCGGUCAGCGGAAAAAAUUGUUCAAAAGGAAUCCCAGGGGCCCGUCCAGCUUGGACCGAAUACUCGACCGCUUGUGCCAAAUACAUGGCACCCCCGAAAAGCCGGCCAAUCACACCAACAGGGACUGUUGGGUGUUCAAGCAGGCAGGAAGAUUAAGCGUCGACAAUGAAGACAAGGGGUUGCAUAGCGAUGACGAGGAGGAGCCCCGGCCGCCGAACAACAAUGGACAGAAGGGUUUUCCCCCACAAGUGCGGACGGUGAACAUGAUAUACGCCACCCACGUCCCCAAAAAGGAGCGGAAGCGCGCGUUAAGGGACGUAUACGCGGUAGAGCCAGUCGCCCCAAAGUUCAACCCAUGGUCCUCCUGCCCGAUCACCUUUGAUCGAAGAGACCAUCCCACUAGCAUCCGUCAUGGCGGAUUCGCCGCAUUGGUUCUUGACCCAAUCAUUGAUGGAUUUCAUCUCACUAGAGUCCUUAUGGACGGCGGCAGUAGCCUGAACCUGCUUUACCAGGAUACAGUGCGGAAAAUGGGCAUAGAUCCCUCAAGGAUUAAGCCCACCAAAACGACCUUUCAAGGCGUAAUACCAGGUGUAGAGGCCAGCUGCACAGGCUCGGUCACACUUGAAGUGGUCUUCGGAUCUCCGGAUAAUUUCCGAAGCGAGGAGUUAAUCUUCGACAUAGUCCCGUUCCGCAGUGGCUAUCACGCACUGCUCGGGCGAACCGCAUUCGCCAAGUUCAAUGCGGUCCCGCACUACGCAUACCUUAAGCUCAAGAUGCCAGGCCCUCGAGGAGUAAUUACGGUCAACGGAAACACCGAACGCUCCCUACGAACGGAGGAGCACACGGCGGCCCUUGCAGCGGAAGUACAAAGCAGCCUCUCCAGGCAGUUCUCCAGUCCGGCCAUUAAACGUCCGGACACAGUCAAGCGCGCCCGGAGUAACCUACAACAAGACCGCCUGGCACGUUCCGAGCAGGUGUAGCAAUGCGGCCCCAACCCCAACCCCCGCAAAAAGGCGACGCCAGUACUUCGCGUCCAUAACUAUGCUCUGGAAAUACCAUGGGCAUAGGGGAAGGGGCACCAUCACGGCACGCCCAAAACACGGCUUAAACCGCACCAGGGGCUGCCGAAUUUUUUUACUUUUCUCUUACUUCCAGGACUCUACUCUUAGGAAGGCUUGUUCGGCAGUUUAAUUGCCGCACAAACGAUGCAAGAACCAGGGAAGCAGACAAGCCAUGCUGCAUUCCGGAAAUCACAGGUGGUCUCUAUCACGAGUAGUAUACCUGUUUCGCAUACUAUUCCGCAGCUUGCCCCUGGAGCAGACAUGUUAAAUAGUCCAGCGUUUCGUUUAUCACAUUACUUGUAUCGUUCUGCUUUGAUCACAUCUAUUUUCAUGAACAAUGCAUAGCUUUUGCCCAUUUUUUGCAUUACCUUUAUAUAUAUAUAUAUAUAUAUAUAUAUAUAUAUAUAUAUAUAUAUAUAUAUGUUCCUUAAUGACAUGUUGCACCCAUACACUUUGGUACGGCCAAAAUAUGCCAGGGGCUUCAGUACCCCUCAACAUGGUGUGAGAAGUCCAAACACUUUAACAAGUGCGGCACCCCGAACUUAUAGCAUUAUAUGCAUCGGCUCUGAAUCAUGUCUUGGGUCAAUAGUUUGGUUUGCCCGGCUCCUAUGUUUUGGUGCCUUACGUUCCGCUAUAUCGGCUAAGGUAGCACUAGGAGAACCAUUGCGAUUGUGCCCCAGUUGAGCUGGGUCGAGCACCUCAGUGGAGAAAGCUAAAACUAACUGUCAUGAUGAAGCGAGAGCUGGUCGCUGUUCGAGAGGUUUUUUUGAGUCCCUAAAGACUUAUGCCGCUUCGAGCGAGGAGUCGGCUCUGUCCAGCCAAGGCGUGGAUAGCGCCCCGAAAUCGGUAUUCCGAAUACUAGGGGCUUCGCCGAAAUUUAAAAUUAUAGAAUUCUAUGGCUAAGUGAGAAUGUUCACGCAUUAUAGUUCGAUUGCCUUGUUCGUUGGGCUGAGCGCCUCCCUCAAAGGACCCAAAUAUGGGGAAAAGAGCGCCCAGGUUUAUCCCCGAACACCCCAGCACUAGUGGCAUGGGGGCAGAAGCCGACGACUCGCCAUCUCUCAGUAUUGAUAAACAGACACACAGAAGGUAAUAUUUUAAAUUCAAGCAGCAUUGCUUAGCGCAUAUGAACAAGUUUUCAGCGCACAGGAUAACACGAGCGGGUUUUACUCAAAAAAUACAUCCUUGGUACAUUCAUCCGCAACAAGGUAGGCACCCUUCAGAACAUCCUUAUAAUACUUCUCGGGCUUGCGAUGCUCUUUCCCUGGCGGUGGCCCAUCCUUCACAAGCUUCUCCGCAUCUAGCUUGCCCCAGUGCACCUUAGCACGGGCAAGGGCCCUACGGGCACCUUCAAUGCAGACGGAGCGCUUGAUGUCUUCAAGCCCCGAACAGGCCUCCACCAGCCGCCGCACCAGCCCGAAAUAGCUCCCAGGCAGAGCCUCUCCAAGCCACAGCCGAACUAGGAGGCCCUUCACGGCCUGUUCAGCCGCCUUGUGGAGCUCGACCAGUUGCUUCAGCUGGUCGCUCAGGGGCACGGGGUGUCCGGCCUCAGCGUACUGAGACCAGAACACCUUCUCCGUCGAGCUGCCCUCCUCGGCUCGAUAGAAUGCGGCGGCAUCAGAUACACUCCGGGGAAGAUCUGUGAAUGCUCCUGGAGAGCUCCGGAUUCGGGUAAGUAACAGGUAACUCACGUUUAUGUGUUUGCUUUGCAUAAAGAAUGCCUUACCCGCCGCAAUCUUCUUCACCUCAUCCAACUCCUGGAGGGUCUUCUGGGACUCGGCCUUGGCAGACUUGGCAUUUUCUAUAGCUGCCGCGAGCUCGGACGCCCGCGUCUUCGAGUCAAGCUCCAAACUCUCAUGUUUCUUCAUGAGAACCUGGAGCUCUUGCUGCACCUUGCCAACCUCAGCCUCAUACCUCUCCCGCUCGGUGCGCUCCACGGCCGCACUCUUCUCGGCCUCGAGCAGCGCUUGCUUAAGGGUCGCCACCUCAGACGUGGCCCCUGCAAUAGACAUGUCAAUCCUGUCAUUUUUUGCAAUUGCACCUUUUUUAUAUACAUAUUCAAACAGGGUAUUUCUUACCUUCCUUCUCCUCGAGCUGCUUAGCACGCCCGAGCUCUUGCUCAGACUUCUCGAGACUCUGCUUCAGCACGUCCACUUCCGCAGUCGGUGCGGCGGACGCUAGCAGAGAAGCCUGCAUAUGCAUAUUGACUCCUUUUGUUAGACUCCUGCGAAUUCUUUGAUCCUCUAUUCGGCUUUUCUUCUCGAACACCCAACAGAGCAUCAGGGGCUACUGUCUAUGCGGUAACAUUAUUUGAACAUUCUUUACUUACCUCAAAGCCUGUUAAAAGGCUUGUACAAGCUUCAGUCAGUCCGCUUUUGCCGGACUGAACCUUCUGGAUCACUGUACUCAUAAUAGUGCGGUGCCCCUCAUCGAUGCAGGCACCUUGGAGCGCCUCCAACAUAUUGUCCGGCGCCUCUGGUUGGACGGAGGCCACCGGCACGGUAGGCUUACUCCUCUUGGAAGGAGGUCGCCCACCGGACUCUGGAACCCUUGAAGAUUCUGGAGCUGUGUCCGGCCUUAAGACGGACUUGGAGCCCUGGGGGGUUUCAUCCCCUUUACUCCUGGAGUCCGGGAGGUCGCCUUGCGGCGCCUCCAGGACCACCUCCUCCCGGCUUAGAACCUAUUGGGACAACACUUCGGUGUUGUCCGCAGGGCGGGGGGAUGAAGACGUCGGAAGCAAGUUCACCUCCGACGGGUCCAGUGAGCCGCUCGACGAUGCGUUGAGCCGGUCUUUGGGUGGGCUGCAUAAACAUAUUCGACAUAAGGAAAAGCUGUGCGAAAAACGAAUACUAUGAAUUACCCCGGUAUCUGGACACUUACAAUUUCGCCAGGGGCUUGGCCCUGGGCUGCCACUCCUCUUCGUCGUCGUCGGCGUCGGUGGAGCAGUCCGGAGGAAGGGUUUUCCCCUUCUUGGACCCUCCGUCCUCCUCGGAGAGGGCGGCCUUCCUUUUCUUCUCUCCUCCCGCUGGAGGGGAAGAGGUCUCUUCUUCUUCCUCCUCGUCUUCACGAGAGGAAGGUGCUUCGGGGCCGUCGGAUGACGAAUCCGACACCUCCUGGCGCCGGGCACUCUUUCGAGUCCCCGUGGCCCUUUUCGUGGCCUUCUUCUCCGGCACCACAUAGGGUGCCGGAACCAGCAGCUUCGCCAAGCGAGCGUCUGCUGGGCCUUCGGGCAGAGGAACCAGACAGUUGAUCUGUCCGGACGUCGCCACCCAAUCCUAUCAAAGAUAAGGGAACUCAGAUCCCGCAUAGAGUCAAACUAUGAAAAACUGGUACCCUGUAAAAGGACAAAAACGGCUUACCACAUGAGCGUGAUGCUGAGUACUGAAUCCGCGAUCCUCGGCAGCGGAUGCGGGAGCUUCGGCGCCCUUGAAAAGCACCCUCCAGGCAUCUUCAUACGUCAUGUCAAAGAGCCUGUUUAGAGUUUGAUGUUGCGCCGGGUCGAACUCCCAUAGGUUGAAGGCCCGUCGUUGACACGGGAGGAUCGAGCGGAUGAGCAUAACCUGGACUACGUUGACAAGCUUGAGCUUCUUGUCCACCAGGGUUUGGAUGCAUGUUUGGAGUCCGAUCAGCUCCCCUUUUUUACCCCACGACAGGUCGGUCUCCUUCUAGGAGGUGAGCCGCGUAGGGGGUCCGGACCGAAACUCGGGGGCUGCGACCCAUUUGGGAUCGCACGGCUUGGUGAUGUAAAACCACCCUGAUUGCCACCCUUUCAGGGUCUCCACAAAGGAGCCCUCGAGCCACAGGAUGUUGGCCAUCUUGCCAACCAUGGCAUCGACGCACUCCGCCUGGCUGCCGCGCACCACCUUCGGCUUGACGUUGAAAGUCUUGAGCCAUAGGCCGAAAUGGGGACAGAUGCGGAGGAAAGCCUCGCACACGACGAUAAACGCCGAGAUGUUGAGGACAAAGUUCGGGGCCAGAUCGUGGAAAUCCAGGCCGUAGUAGAACAUGAGCCCCGGGACAAAUGGGUGCAGAGGGAAGCCCAGUCCGCGGAGGAAAUGAGGGAGGAAUACCACCCUCUCAUGGGGCCUGGGAAUGGGGAUGAGCUGCCCCGUUUCGGGAAGCCGGUGUGCGAUGUUGCUAGCUAGAUAUCCGGCCUUCCUCAGCUUUUUGAUGUGUCCCUCCGUGACGGAGGAGACCAUCCACUUGCCUCCCGCUCCGGACAUGACUGGAGAAGGUCGAGGUGGUAGUGCGGACUUGGGCGCUGGAGCUCAAGUGCGCAAGAAUGGAUAGGCAGAGGAGGAAGAAGGCGUGGGUGAAAAGGUGGAUCCUUAUCCCCUUAUAUGGGUGGACGCGACUACAUGCCCCCACCAGCCUGGUAAAACUUGCUUAUCUUCAAGCGCCGUAAUCAAAGGCGCGGUUGGGUUACUCACGCCCGUAUUGAUGAGAAUCCCGGAAUAAAGGGACACGAUCUCUGCUUUGACAAGACGUGCCAAGGAAACCGCCUCGCAUAACGCACUGAGGUGGGAUAAUGAAACGAUUUGGAUACAGGCUUGGCAGUGGCGUGUCGCACCAUGGAAUACGUCAGCAUAUUAGAUUUGUGUUAAUAUUAUUAUUCUCUCUAUGGCAAUAUGUGGAAACUUAUUUUGCAGAGAAGGACACUAUCUUUGUGUUCAAAAUCUUCUAUGGAGUGCUUGGAGGAGGAACCCGCCUUGCAAUUCCGAAGACAAUUUGCGCGCCGGACUCGUCGUCAUUGAAGCCUGGUUCAGGGGCUACUGAGGGAGUCCUGGAUUAGGGGGUGUUCGGAUAGCCGAAUUAUACCUUCAGCCGGACUCCUGGACUAUGAAGAUACAAGAUUGAAGACUCCUUCCCGUGUCUGGAAGGGAUUUUCCUUGGCGUGGAAGGCAAGCUUGGCGAUACGGAUGUUCAGAUCUCCUACCAUUGUAACCGACUCUAUGUAACCCUAACCCUAUCCGGUGUCUAUAUAAACCGAAGGGUUCUAGUCCAUAGGACGACAUACACAUCUACAAUCAUACCAUAGGCUAGCUUCUAGGGUUUAGCCUCUCUGAUCUCGUGGUAGAUCAACUCUUGUAUUACCCAUAUCAUCAAUAUUAAUCAAGCAGGACGUAGGGUUUUACCUCCAUCGAGAGGGCCCGAACCUGGGUAAAACUUCGUGUCCCCUGCCUCCUGUUACCAUCCGACCUAGACGCACAGUUCGGGACCCCCUACCCGAGAUCCGCCAGUUUUGACACCGACAGAGAGGUUGGGGAAGACUCCGUCCAGCAGCAGCACGACGGUGUGGUGGUGUUGGAGCAGCGUGGUACUCUGGCAGGGCUUCGCCAAGCGUCGCGGGAGGAGGAGGAGGUGUUGGGGAGGGGGGCUGCGCCUUGGAUGUGGUGUGGCUGCCCUCCCACCUCCCCUAUAUUUAUAGGGGCAAGGGAGAAGGGGGGCGGCCCCCUCCAGAUGGAUCUAGAGGGGGGCGGCGGCCAAGGGGGGAGGCUUGCCCCCCAAGCCAAGGGGGGCGCCCCCUUUAGGGUUCCCCCAAACACUAGGCGCAUGGGCCCUAGGGGGUUUGGAGCCCAGCCCACCUAGGGGCUGGUUCCCCCUCCAUAUUCAGCCCAUAGGGCCCUUCGGGGCAGGUGGACCCCCGGAACCCUUUCGGUGGUCCCGGUACAAUACUGAUAAACCCGUGAACACUUCCGGCGACCGAAUAAGGACUUCCCAUAUAUAAAUCUUUGUCUCCGGACCAUUUCGGAACUCCUCGUUACGUCCAGGAUCUCAUCCGGGACUCCGAACAACAUUCAGUAACCACGUACAAACUUUCGCUAUAACCCUAGUGUCAUCGAACCUUAAGUGUGUAGACCCUACGGGUUCGGGAAUCAUGCAGACAUGACCGAGGCAUCUCUCUAGCCAAUAACCAACAGCGGGAUCUGGAUACCCAUGUUGGCUCCUACAUGUUCCACGAUGAUCUCAUCGGAUGAACCACGAUGUCGAGGAUUCAAUUAAUCCCGUAUACAAUUCCCUUUGUCUACCGGUAUAGCACUUGCCCGAGAUACGGUCGUCGGUAUACCGAUACCUUUUUCAAUCUCGUUAUGGCAAGUCUCUUUACUCGUUCCAUAACACAUCAUCCCGUGACCAACCCCUUAGUCACAUUGAGCUCAUUACGAUGAUGUCUUACCGAGUGGGCCCAGAGAUACCUCUCCGUCAUACGGAGUGAUAAAUCCCAGUCUCGAUUCGUGCCAACCCAACAGAUACUUUCGGAGAUACCCGUAGUGCACCUUUAUAGCCACCCAGUUACUUGUGACGUUUGGCACACCCAAAGCAUUCCUACGGUAUCUAGGAGUUGCACAAUCUCAUGGUCUAAGGAAAAGAUACUCGACAUUAGAAAAGCUUUAGCAGACGAACUACACGAUCUUGUGCUAUGCUUAGGAUUGGGUUUUGUCCAUCACAUCAUUCUCCUAAUGAUGUGAUCCCGUUAUCAAUGACAUCCGAUGUCCAUGGUCAGGAAACCGUAACCAUCUAUUGAUCAACGAGCUAGUCAACUAGAGGCUCACUAGGGACAUGUUGUGGUCUAUUUAUUCACACAUGUAUUAUGAUUUCCGGAUAACACAAUUAUAGCAUGAACAAUAGACAAUUAUCAUGAACAAGAAAAUAUAAUAAUAACCAUUUUAUUAUUGCCUCUAGGGCAUAUUUCCAACACAACUUUCCACCGUUCCAUUUAUUAUGACACGCUUCAUCAUUGUCAUAUUGCUUUACAUGAUCAUGUAGUUGACAUGGUAUUUGUGGCAAAGCCACCGCUCAUAAUUUUUAUAUAUGUCACUCUUGAUUCAUUGCACAUCCUGGUACACCACCGGAGGCAUUCAUAUAGAGUCAUAUUUUGUUCUAAGUAUCUAGUUGUAAUUCUUGAGUUGUAAGUAAAUAAAAGUGUGACGAUUUUCAUUAUUAGAGCAUUGUCCCAUGUGAGGAAAGGAUGAGGGAAGCUAUGAUUCCCCCAAAAGUCGGGAUGAGUCUUUGCUUUACAAAAAAAUAAAAGAGGCCAAAGAAGCCCAUUCAAAAAAAUGAGAGAAAAGAGAGAAGCGGCAAUGUUAUUAUCCUUUUACCACACUUGUGCUUCAAAGUAGCACCAUGAUCUUCAUGAUAGACAGUCUCCUAUGUUUUCACUUUCAUAUACUAGUGGAAAUUUUUUUCAUUAUAGAACUUGGCUUGUAUAUUCCAAUGAUGGGCUUCCUCAAAUUGCCCUAGGUCAUCGUGAGCAAGCGAGCUGGAUGCACACCCACUUAGUUUCUUUUUGAGCAUUCAUAAACUUAUAGCUCUAGUGCAUCCGUUGCAUGGCAAUCCCUACUCACUCACAUUGAUAUCUAUUGACGAGCAUCUCCAUAGCCCGUUUAUACGCCUAGUUGAUGUGAGACUAUCUCCUUCUUUUUGUUUUCUCCACAACCACCAUAUUUUAUUCCACCUAUAGUGUAUGAAAGCUCAUGUAUUGCAUGAAAGUUGAAAAAGUUUGAGAACAUCAAAAGUAUGAAACAAUUGCUUGGCUUAUCAUCGGGGUUGUGCAUGAUUUGAAUAUUUUGUGUGAUGAAGAUGGAGCAUAGCCAAACUAUAUGAUUUUGUAGGGAUAAGCUUUCUUUGGCCAUGUUAUUUUGAGAAGACAUAAUUGCCUUGUUAGUAUUCUUUAAGUAUUAUUGUUUUUAUGUCAAUAUUAAACUUUUGUUUUGAAUCUUAUGGAUCUGGAUAUUCAUGCCACAAUAAAGAAAAAUUACAUGGAUAAAUAUGUUAGGAAGCAUUCCACAUCAAAAAUUCUGUUUUUAUCAUUUACCUACUCGAGGAUGAGCAGGAAUUAAGCUUGGGGAUGCUUGAUACGUCUCCAACAUAUCUAUAAUUUUUGAUUGUCCCAUACUAUUAUAUUAUCUGUUUUGGAUGUUUUAUAUGCAUUAUUAUGCUAUUUUAUAUUAUUUUUGGGACUAAUUUAUUAACCUAGAGCCCAGUGCCAGUUUCGCGGAGAUUUUUCUUCACGAUGAUUUUUUAGCUUUGCGGAGAAGGAAUACCAAACGGAAUAAAACCUUCGCGAUGAUUUUUCUUGGACCAGAAGACACCCUAGAGACUUGAAGACUAAGUCAGAAGAUCCCCGAGGCGGGCACAAGGGGGUAGGNNNNNNNNNNNNNNNNNNNNNNNNNNNNNNNNNNNNNNNNNNNNNNNNNNNNNNNNNNNNNNNNNNNNNNNNNNNNNNNNNNNNNNNNNNNNNNNNNNNNNNNNNNNNNNNNNNNNNNNNNNNNNNNNNNNNNNNNNNNNNNNNNNNNNNNNNNNNNNNNNNNNNNNNNNNNNNNNNNNNNNNNNNNNNNNNNNNNNNNNNNNNNNNNNNNNNNNNNNNNNNNNNNNNNNNNNNNNNNNNNNNNNNNNNNNNNNNNNNNNNNNNNNNNNNNNNNNNNNNNNNNNNNNNNNNNNNNNNNNNNNNNNNNNNNNNNNNNNNNNNNNNCCGCAACCUUCUGUUCCCGUGAGAUCCCAUCUUGGGGCCUUUUCCGGCAUCCUGUCGGAGGGGGAUUCGAUCACGGAGGGCUUCUACAUCAACUGUAUUGCCCUUCCGAUGAAGCGCAAGUAGUUUACCUCAGAUCAUGGAGGGCUUCUACAUCAACUGUAUUCUCAAUACCAUGUUCUCCUCGAUGUUCUUGGAGAUCUAUCCGAUGUAAUCUUCUUUUGCGGUGUGUUUGUCGAGAUCCGAUGAAUUGUGGGUUUAUGAUUAGCUUAUCUACGAAUAUUAUUUGAAUCUUAUUUAAAUUCUUUUAUGCAUGAGUUGAUAUCUUUGUAAUUCUCUUCGAACUAUUGGUUUAGUUUGGCCAACUAGAUUGGUUUUUCUUGCAAUGGGAUAAGUGCUUAGCUUUGGGUUCAAUCUUGCGGUGUCCUUUCCCAGUGAUAGUAGGGGCAGGAAGGCACGUAUUGUAUUGUUUCCAUCGAGGAUAAAAAGAUGGGGUUUACAUCAUAUUGCUUGAGUUUAUUCCUCUACAUCAUGUCAUCUUACUUAAUGCGUUGCUCUGUUUUUCAUGAACUUAAUACUCUAGAUGCAGGCAGGAGUCGGUUGAUGUGUGGAGUAAUAGUAGUAGAUGCAGGCAGGAGUCGGUCUACUUGAUAUGGAUGUGAUGCCUGUAUUUCAUAAUCAUUGCCUUAGAUAUCGUCAUAGCUUUGCGCUUUUCUAUCAAUUGCUCAACAGUAAUUUGUUCACCCACCAUAUUAUUUGCUAUCUUGAGAGAAGCCUCUAGUGAAACCUAUGUCCCCCGGGUCUAUUUUCCAUCAUAUAAGUUUCCGAUCUACUAUUUUGCAAUCUUUUGCUUUCCUAUCUAUAAACCAAAAAACCCAAAAAUAUUUACUUUAUCGUUUGUUUAGUUUUAUCUAUCUCUAUUAGAUCUCACUUUUGCAAGUGAUCGUGAAGGGAUUGGCAACCCCUUUAUCGCGUUGGGUGCAAGUUGUUUGAUUGUUUGCGCGGGUAUUGGUGAUCUGUGCGUUGUCUCCUACUGGAUUGAUAGCUUGGUUCUCUAACUGAGGGAAAUACUUAUCUCUACUUUGUUGCAUCACCCUUUCCUCUUCAAGGGAAAAACCAACGCAAGCUCAAGAAGUAGCAUAUGUUUUUUAUUAUCCCAUUAGUGGCCCUACAUCCUUGUGUGGGAUACCAUGCUAUACUAUCUGGGUUAUCCGAGAUGAUGGAUCGUUGUACAGAGACCUGAACACCCCUUUAGGCCCUACAAUUAUUUGACUCUGUAGAGUCGCACUAAGGGUGAACUUACUAAGGGUGAUUCCUCGUAGUUCACUCCCAAUGAUGACUUUGCAGCGCAACACAUCUAGUGUGACCUUAUGAAAGGUGAUUCCUCAUAUACCACUCUCGACGAUGUCUCUGUCAUGCAGUAUAUCAAGUGUGAAUCUAUCGAGGGUGAUUCCUCGGGUUUUCACCUUGAUGUUAUGGAACUGAGUCCCGACAACCCCAAAUGUUAAAGACGGGUCGGCCCCAAGGGUACCCGUGAAUGAUUCACUGUUGGUGGAACAACAGGGUAGGUAGAAACCACCUAGGCGAGAGGUGGGCUUGGUCCCAGGUUGGUGUUCGUGGAUAUUUCAUAAUAACAUGCUUAACGAGGUUGGAUAUUUGAUCUGAGACUGCCAUUGGCAUAUACGCACUAACCGCCGCGCGGGAUAAUGGUAUAUGGGGACCUCGGCAUCGUACAUUCCUUCUAAAAGCUUUCCAGAUGUUAUAGUUCAGAGAUGCGGGCUGGUUAUUGGGGUGGGCUGGUUAGGCCUGCUUGUGUACACAAAGGCGCCCCUGGGCCUCGGCUAGUCACGCAACAUGCAGGAGUGCUUAGGGUGAUGGGCCCAUGACCUCUUUGCACUUAGGAUUUAGAUUGACGUGUUGACCUCUCUGGGGAGCCUAGGUUGGUCUACAACGUGUUGAUUAUCCAAGCCUGGGCAUUACCUAGAAAAGUGUGUCUGGUUAGAGGUAAUGAAGUGUAUCGGGUAACGUGGUGCACCCCUAUAGGGAACUAAUCUAUUCGAAUAGCCGUGUCCAUGGUAAAGGAUGACUUGGAGUUGUAUCCCACUUUUACAACUAAAACCGGAUACUUUUUAAAACAUAGCCAGAUAAGAGACAGAUACCCCCGGAGAUCGCUUUCCCCAGGGAGACGAGGAGAGGAUCUCUGGGCAGGUUUAUUGCUACAUAUGUACAAGAUGAUAUCAUAUAAUGCUCCUCUCUUCUAUUGCUGCAAGAUGAUGGUUGCAAGAAGAUGUAGUCUUCGAUAUGAUGAGCUUAUCCCCCUUAUGUUGAUAUUUUUGCAGUUUAGUCCAUAGAUACUACCCCAUUCCUUUGAUACCGAUGCAUAUCUAGUGUAGAUCUGAUGUAAGUCUUGCGAGUACUUCGGAUGAGUACCCACGGUUGCUUUGCUACCCUUUUCAUUUAACCCGGUUGCUGCAACAGUUGGUAGAAAUGUGGAUGCAGGUUACCCCAGCGGAGCGUACUAUGUGGAGACCGACGACCAAGAGUAGUCCGGAGGUCCCAAGCAGAAGGCCUCGCCUUUCGAUCAUAGUGUCGUUGUUUUGCCCAGCCUUCGUAAGGCAAAACUUCUCUAACUAUUUAUGUACUCAUACAAUAUUUUCUUUGAUGAUUUAUGUAUUAUGGGUCCUCGUGACCCGGGCUUGUAAUAUGUUGUUUUAUGUUUAUCUUCUGUGUCGCAGAGAUUGUGUUGUGAUAUUGACGUGAGUCACCGUUCGUGAUCGUGCAUGAUGUGUGUAUGAUUAGUGCACGGUUAUAAACGGGGGCGUCAUGGGCUUUGACACUAAUCCACUCCUUGGAGGCUUCAAUGAGGUUCCCCACCCCCUCAACAUGCCGCUGCUUAGUGGUAAAAACUUGGUCCCCUAUUUGGGUGGCGACGAUGUUGUGGAGUCGUGUUACUCCUUAGAGGCAUCGUCCGAGAUAACAGUUGCGGAGGGUGAUGUUUUUGGUGGUGGCGAAUGGCGGCUCGGAUUCAGUUCUGACAAGUCUCAUGGCUGCAAGAGUGGAGAGUCCCUGUCGGUGCCGCUGGUGGGUUGCCACCCUCGAUUCUGGGCAAGAGGGGAUCAUCGUCCCCUCUUUGGUUCUAUCUUGUCGCUGAGCCAAUGGCGGCGUUGGUGCUUCAUCGGAAUUUGGCCCAAACUUGGAGGUCACGUGAAGACAUUUGGUUUCAGGUCCUUCAACGCCUUAGAGCAUCUCCAGCCGGCCCCCCAAGAAGCCCCCCAAGAGCAUUUUUUUUCAGCGCCGGCAAACAAAAAUCGUCCCAGCCACGCCCCCACGACCUCACUUUUCACCGGUUUUCGCAAAAAACAAAGCCGGCGAGCCCAUCCCACACCCAGGCUAUCGGGGGGCAGCUGGGGGGACCGGCGCUUUGUUUAAGCGACGCGAUUGGCCCACGUCAGCCACCCAUCCCCCUCUCUCUCCUCUCUUUUCUCUUUCCUUCUGCCCCCACGCACACACACCGAGCCGCAUGCACUCUGAGCUGCACGAGGAGGCGCCGUGGCCGGAGCUCGCCCGCACCCUCCUGUCCGGGGCGGAGCUGCGCAUGGUCGGGGAGGAGCUCGCCAGCGCUUUUCUGCGUUGGCCGAGGCGGAGCUCGCCCGCGCCCUCCUGUGCGUGGCCGGGGCAGAGCUCGCGCGCGCCAACACGUCCUGCUCGCCAAGGUUGGAAAGGGCGUCCUGCUACCUUCGUUGGCGUCCGCCGCCUCCCCGCACCAUGGCCUCGUCUCCGGCCGUCACGCCUGCCCCCGCGCCACUCCUCUGCACCGCACCCGAUGCGGCCCGCACAUGUCGUGGCCCGCAACUCGCUCUCCGGCCAUGGCCUGCAGUUGCCUCGCGUCGGCGUAUCCCGCCCGCUCUAGCCGCUCGCCCCAUGUGCGUCCGCGUGCUUCCCUCGUCGCUCUGCUCAUCGCAUUGACCGCGUCGUGGCCGGCCACCGAGCCGCGCGCGCGCUCACCACUGGUCGGCGUCCCCAAGCAGGAGCAGAAGCACCGUCCCCGCGAGCGCCUUCGACGCUGCCGAGGAAGCCCAGCGCCCACCUCCGCCUGCUCGCGCUCCCGCUGGCCGGCGUGGCGGACGGGCCGGCGCCGGAGAUGCCAUGGCGGAAGGAGGAGGAGUAGGCAGCGGCGGAGGCGUAGCAGACGGAGUGGCCGAGCGCGUCGUCCCUUCAGCGUUCGUCGUGCUCACCGACCUCGGCCCCAGCUACAUGGGGGGCGCCACGAGUGGAACAAAUUUCACCCCAUGCCAAAUUUUUCGCCGGCAGCCCCCCAAGCGGCGAAAAAAAUGCCUCCUGGGGAGGCUCAACGGCUGGAAAUGCUCUUAGCUUUCCUUGUGUAUGUCAUAGUCUAUGGCGAGGCCUCAGUGUGCAUGUUUCUUUAAACUAUUACCACAUCCAUCUGCGGACAGGGGGGACUAGUCCUCUAACAUGGAUGUGAGAGCCGACCAUCCAAUGGUAUCCGCAUACAUUUCAAAUCGGCUAAACAAACAAGAUGAAAUUCAUGGAAAAUAGAUGAUUUCCAUACAAAUCAAAUGAAAUUCAUUACAUUCUAGACUUCUUAAAACUAAAUCGUACUCUAACCUGGUCUAAAUUACCACCGACACCCAUUCCCCAUGACCAUCCGGUUAUGAGCCUCGGGAAGUGAAGCUCCAGCUCCGCCUCUGCAACCUACAAGUGGCUAAUCAGCCGACAAAGAUGAGGCCACAAGGCUUAGCUUCAGCAAGAGAGCAAGAGUGGUGGCCUUGACACAAGCGUCGGCUCCUUCCCAUGCUCUACUCUGCCUCGCUGCCAGCGGCGCUGACGAACGCGUCGACGUCGUUGUGUCAUGUCGUGGCCGCAAAGCCACCGGCCUCUUCACUACCGUCAUCGGGCCCGUAAACUUCAUCCGCCGCCUCAUCGAUCUUCUUGUAGGCGGCCUCUAAAUCCGCAUGAUACUGGCGCUAGAGCCAGCAGUCGCGAUGGAUGUCACAAGCGAAGCGGUAGGAGUCCAGCAGAGCCUCUUGCUCGCCAACGUCCACAUCCGACGUGAUGGCCGCGCCGACGACGAGUAGCUCCUCCGCGCACCGGUGCUCGUCAAGGCGGAGAUUAUAGGCCUGUACAGGCAUGCGCCUGCUGAAACACGGCCUCCCGCUCCUCCAACACCAUGUUGGUGUAGUGAGCAUGGGCCUUACCCAUGGUGAUGCCGGCAUAAGAUUAUAGGCCUGUACGGGCAUGCGCCUGCUGGAACACGGCCUCCCGCUCCUCCAACACCAUGUUGGUGUAGUGAGCAUGGGCCUUACCCAUGGUGAUGUCGGCAUAAGAUUAUAGGCCUAUACGGGCAUGCGCCUGCUGGAACACGGCCUCCCGCUCCUCCAACACCAUGUUGGUGUAGUGAGCAUGGGCCUUACACAUGGUGAUGCCGGCAUAAGCCGGUGAAGGCACCGGCUCAGUCGUCGGCCGCCUCUGCCAUUGGAGCCUCCACAGCACCUGCCUCCUGUGAGCCGGCAACAAUGGCGGCGGUCUUCCCUUCUGUUCAAAAGAGGUUGUCCCCCAGAUCUUUGGAGCACAUCAAGGCCAUGGCAUGUGUGGUGACAAAUCUUUGGAGCUCAUGAAGGGUUUAAAUAGUGGGCAAAGGGUUGGCAAGGCAAAGAGGUCAGCAACCGUGAGCGGCAGCAGUCAGAAUCAGGCUCAGGUUGCGCCUUUUCUCUAAAACAAAAUACAAGUUCAAAUAUUCUAUGUACAAAACUGUUUAUUGUGCUGUUUUGAUAUUUUAGCCGUCUAGGGCAUCAAACCAAUCGGCACGAGACAGAGCAACUGACCAACAAUGAUAUCGAUCGGGAAUAGAAUAAAGGUACCACUGCACUUUAUUUUGAUCUUAUUUAAUUAACAUUUCCCACUUAGAUUCAAAAGACAUGCUUACCCUACUGAAAUCUUAAAAAAUAACCACAAGAGCACAAGUCAAAAGUAAAAGCAGAGAACCGGGCAACAUAUCACAUAUGAACGAAGGCAAGAGGCACAUCUGUAGCAAACUAGCUUGGGUAUUCAAUAACAACCAUGACAAAAUAUGAAAUAGUUCGCUGAAAACAGUUGUACUAAUUCUGGCUUCAAGAACACUGGAACAUAGAGCAGAUCCAACUUGGAACAAAAAACUCAACAUGUCAUCCACUAAGAUAUUCUAA
This 41808-nucleotide long non-coding RNA is filed under the name Triticum aestivum (bread wheat). RNAcentral describes it as "long non-coding RNA (TAES_LNC010488)". The record is from RNAcentral. Lineage: Eukaryota; Viridiplantae; Streptophyta; Magnoliopsida; Poales; Poaceae.